Molecule: small nucleolar RNA, 107 nt
Organism: Lactuca sativa (garden lettuce)
Lineage: Eukaryota; Viridiplantae; Streptophyta; Magnoliopsida; Asterales; Asteraceae
Source: RefSeq, a predicted model, not a curated record
AAGUCAUGUUGAGGGAAAUGUCAUAUCAAUCUCUUGUAACACUCCCAAGCUUCAUAUAACGACUCACCUUCUAAUUUUUUAAAAUUUUGUAUGUUCCUAUUAAGCUC